GGUUAAGCGACUAAGCGUACACGGUGGAUGCCCUGGCAGUCAGAGGCGAUGAAGGGCGUGCUAAUCUGCGAUAAGCGCCGGUAAGGUGAUAUGAACCGUUAUAACCGGCGAUUUCCGAAUGGGGAAACCCAGUGUGACUCGUCACACUAUCAUUAACUGAAUCCAUAGGUUAAUGAGGCGAACCGGGGGAACUGAAACAUCUAAGUACCCCGAGGAAAAGAAAUCAACCGAGAUUCCCCCA
This 241-nucleotide ribosomal RNA is filed under the name Salmonella enterica subsp. enterica. RNAcentral's name for it is "partial 23S ribosomal RNA". It matches the Rfam family "Bacterial large subunit ribosomal RNA", at positions 1 to 242 of the family's 2925-position model. RNAcentral also lists the same sequence under 1 other name. The record is from RNAcentral. Lineage: Bacteria; Pseudomonadati; Pseudomonadota; Gammaproteobacteria; Enterobacterales; Enterobacteriaceae.